This 391-nucleotide transfer-messenger RNA is filed under the name Candidatus Babeliales bacterium. It matches the Rfam family "transfer-messenger RNA". From Rfam's summary of the family: Bacterial tmRNA, also known as 10Sa RNA or SsrA, is named for its dual tRNA and mRNA-like properties. Its role is to liberate the mRNA from a stalled ribosome. Lineage: Bacteria; Candidatus Babeliae; Candidatus Babeliales. The record is from RNAcentral.
GGGGGCGUACCGGUUUCGACGUAUUAAUGAUGGUUAUGUGAGCAUGUCGAGCUUUUAUUGAGUGCUCGUUAAACAAACAAUAAAAAACAAAUGCAGAAUCGUUAAGAACUGCAGGAGCUACAUUACUAGUUGCAUUGUUCGCAAUGUUUGCUGGUUUUGCAGCUUCCUUCAGACGCCGUGAAGACGAAUAUUCUUCACUGUCUGUCGCUUAAUAAAACCAUAUUCCUUUUACGUAAUAUUUCUUUAUUUCAUAGCGUAAAAGUAUAAGAAAUCGACAAAUUUGCAAUGCGCGCUUUCUGAGCAGUAAAUUUGAAAAAACAGAAAGAUAAACAUGUAGCGCAUAUGACUUGAUUUUCUACGGACAUGGGUUCAAUUCCCAUCGCCUCCACCA